GUCCACGCCGUAAACGAUGGGUGCUAGUUGUUAGGAAGUUUACUUCUUAGUGACGCAGCUAACGCGUUAAGCACCCCGCCUGGGGAGUACGGUCGCAAGGCUAAAACUCAAAUGAAUUGACGGGGGCUCACACAAGCGGUGGAGCAUGUUGCUUAAUUCGAGGCAACGCGAAGAACCUUACCUGGGUUUGACAUGUACGGAUCAACCCCGUGAAAGCGGGGCCACAGUCGCAAGACCGGAACGUGCACAGGUGCUGCAUGGCUGUCGU
This 268-nucleotide ribosomal RNA is filed under the name uncultured bacterium. Its description in RNAcentral is "partial 16S ribosomal RNA". It matches the Rfam family "Bacterial small subunit ribosomal RNA", at positions 793 to 1055 of the family's 1533-position model. The record is from RNAcentral.